AUUGAACGCUGGCGGCAUGCCUUACACAUGCAAGUCGAACGGCAGCACGGGUGCUUGCACCUGGUGGCGAGUGGCGGACGGGUGAGUAACGCGUAGGUAUCUGUCCAUGGGUGGGGGAUAACAGCGGGAAACUGCUGCUAAUACCGCAUGACACCUGAGGGUCAAAGGCGCAAGUCGCCUGUGGAGGAGCCUGCGUCCGAUUAGCUUGUUGGUGGGGUAAUGGCCUACCAAGGCGAUGAUCGGUAGCUGGUCUGAGAGGAUGAUCAGCCACACUGGAACUGAGACACGGUCCAGACUCCUACGGGAGGCAGCAGUGGGGAAUUUUCCGCAAUGGGCGAAAGCCUGACGGAGCAAUACCGCGUGAGGGAAGAAUGCCUAUGGGUUGUAAACCUCUUUUCAGGGAGGAAUCAAAUGACGUGUACCUGAAGAAUAAGCAUCGGCUAACUCCGUG
RNAcentral lists this ribosomal RNA (451 nucleotides) under uncultured bacterium. Its description in RNAcentral is "bacterial SSU rRNA". It matches the Rfam family "Bacterial small subunit ribosomal RNA", at positions 30 to 507 of the family's 1533-position model. The record is from RNAcentral.